Long non-coding RNA from Mesocricetus auratus (golden hamster), 414 nucleotides. RefSeq lists it as uncharacterized. Lineage: Eukaryota; Metazoa; Chordata; Mammalia; Rodentia; Cricetidae. The record is from RefSeq and is a predicted model, not a curated record. The transcript is spliced from 2 exons.
CUCCUGCAAUUUCUGCUCGUGCAGCUCAUCUUCCUCCAGCAGGUCCCUGAUGUCCUUGAGGGAGGCCUCCACAUCCGUGAACACUCCUGACAGCACUGAAGUGUAUUGGGGGUAGCCACUGAGAAGAGCCUGCCUGCCUGCAUGAUCCCUCCGCUGAAACUAAAGACUUGUCUUCUACCACGUGGACUGGAGGCCAUGCCUACACUGACAGACACCCUCCACAGCACAUCAACACUCACAACCUAGAUCUAGCCUCUGGGCCGGGAGGCGAGAAUGUGGUGUGAGCCUACCUCCCACCGCUUGUCCCAUACUUACUCUAGAACCUCAUUCUUGUCUUCAAUCUUGGCCAGCAUUUCCCGAAGUAGCUUGGCCUUCUCCUCGCUAAGAAUAAACAGACCAGUUGCUGGAAACCUA